This 68-nucleotide transfer RNA is filed under the name Chromis notata (pearl-spot chromis). RNAcentral's name for it is "tRNA-Ser". Lineage: Eukaryota; Metazoa; Chordata; Actinopteri; Pomacentridae. The record is from RNAcentral.
GAGAGAGGCUCGCCAGCAACGAACACUGCUAAUUUACGUCACUUUGGUUGAACUCCAAGGCUCACUCG